GAAUUGCGAUAAGUAAUGUGAAUUGCAGAAUUCAGUGAAUCAUCGAAUCUUUGAACGCACCUUGCGCUCCCUGGUAUUCCUAGGAGCAUGCCUGUUUGAGUGUCAUGAAUUCCUCAAAUCCCAAUGUUUUGCAAAAUUCAUUGCUUGGAUUU
RNAcentral lists this ribosomal RNA (152 nucleotides) under Quambalaria sp. Q2. Its description in RNAcentral is "5.8S ribosomal RNA". The stretch from base 1 to 105 matches the Rfam family "5.8S ribosomal RNA", at positions 50 to 154 of the family's 154-position model. From Rfam's summary of the family: 5.8S ribosomal RNA (5.8S rRNA) is a component of the large subunit of the eukaryotic ribosome. It is transcribed by RNA polymerase I as part of the 45S precursor that also contains 18S and 28S rRNA. RNAcentral also lists the same sequence under 5 other names. The record is from RNAcentral. Lineage: Eukaryota; Fungi; Basidiomycota; Exobasidiomycetes; Microstromatales; Quambalariaceae.